Talpa occidentalis (Iberian mole) is the source of this 311-nucleotide long non-coding RNA. RefSeq lists it as uncharacterized. Lineage: Eukaryota; Metazoa; Chordata; Mammalia; Eulipotyphla; Talpidae. The transcript is spliced from 3 exons. The record is from RefSeq and is a predicted model, not a curated record.
UUCUAAGUUUCUGCUUCCUACUGAGGAAGGUCUGUUGUGGAAAGCACUCUCUGUGGUGCCUCAGCAAAACCUGACUGACAGAGAAGAUCAGCACUUGUCCCCAAAAUAUGCUUGACUCAGUGCGUCAAUCAGCUUGCAGAGACGGUGAAAUAAAAAUUUCAUUUGGUGGAUAACAAACAAAGAAACAGACAAACCAAAACACCAGUAAGAGUUUGGAGAAGAGAGGAAGACAGAGAGAAGGUGAGGUGAAGUGUGGGCAGCGUCAGCCUGGAACCACCCUGGGAGACCAGCUAAUGCCACGGGGGAAUCAC